Molecule: ribosomal RNA, 419 nt
Filed under: bacterium
Lineage: Bacteria
Description: partial 16S ribosomal RNA
Rfam family: Bacterial small subunit ribosomal RNA
Source: RNAcentral
UGGGGGAUAUUGCACAAUGGGCGCAAGCCUGAUGCAGCGACGCCGCGUGGGGGAUGAAGGCCUUCGGGUUGUAAACUUCUUUUGCUCUGAACAAGGCGCACUUUGGGGUGUGUUGAGUGUAGGGGUUGAUUAGCGCCGGCUAACUACGUGCCAGCAGCCGCGGUAAUACGUAGGGCGCGAGCGUUGUCCGGAAUUAUUGGGCGUAAAGGGCUUGUAGGUGGCUGGUUGCGUCUGUCGUGAAAGCUCAUGGCUUAACUGUGGGUUUGCGGUGGGUACGGGCUGGCUUGAGUGCAGUAGGGGAGGCUGGAAUUCCUGGUGUAGCGGUGGAAUGCGCAGAUGUCAGGAGGAAUACCGGUGGCGAAGGCGGGUCUCUGGGCUGUUACUGACACUGAGGAGCGAAAGCAUGGGGAGCGAACAGG